This 253-nucleotide ribosomal RNA is filed under the name uncultured bacterium. RNAcentral's name for it is "partial 16S ribosomal RNA". It matches the Rfam family "Bacterial small subunit ribosomal RNA", at positions 524 to 776 of the family's 1533-position model. The record is from RNAcentral.
UACGUAGGGUGCGAGCGUUAAUCGGAAUUACUGGGCGUAAAGCGUGUGUAGGCGGUCUCGUAAGUCGGGUGUGAAAGCCCUGGGCUCAACCCAGGAAGUGCACUCGAAACUGCGAGGCUAGAGUACUGGAGAGGUUGGUGGAAUUCUCGGUGUAGAGGUGAAAUUCGUAGAUAUCGAGAGGAACACCGGUGGCGAAGGCGGCCAACUGGACAGAUACUGACGCUGAGACACGAAAGCGUGGGGAGCAAACAGG